UAGGGAAUCUUCGGCAAUGGGGGGAACCCUGACCGAGCAACGCCGCGUGAGUGAAGAAGGUUUUCGGAUCGUAAAGCUCUGUUGUUAAGGAAGAACGAGUGUGAGAAUGGAAAGUUCAUGCUGUGACGGUACUUAACCAGAAAGGGACGGCUAACUACGUGCCAGCAGCCGCGGUAAUACGUAGGUCCCGAGCGUUGUCCGGAUUUAUUGGGCGUAAAGCGAGCGCAGGCGGUUAGAAAAGUCUGAAGUGAAAGGCAGUGGCUCAACCAUUGUAGGCUUUGGAAACUGUUUAACUUGGGUGCAGAAGGGGAGAGUGGAAUUCCAUGUGUAGCGGUGAAAUGCGUAGAUAUAUGGAGGAACACCGGUGGCGAAGGCGACUCUCUGGUCUGUAACUGACGCUGAGGCUCGAAAGCGUGGGUAGCAAACAGG
Molecule: ribosomal RNA, 429 nt
Filed under: Bacteroidota bacterium
Lineage: Bacteria; Pseudomonadati; Bacteroidota
Description: Bacteroidetes bacterium partial 16S ribosomal RNA
Rfam family: Bacterial small subunit ribosomal RNA
Source: RNAcentral